RNAcentral lists this long non-coding RNA (1053 nucleotides) under Sus scrofa (pig). RNAcentral's name for it is "lncRNA (ENSSSCG00070030194.1)". Lineage: Eukaryota; Metazoa; Chordata; Mammalia; Artiodactyla; Suidae. The record is from RNAcentral.
AUGGAAAAGAAAGGAAAAGAGAUUUGAUUUCUGUGGCUGAGAACCACUCCAACAGAAGAUUUUGUGAAGAAUGAGGUUGAAGCUAUUAGUACAAGUUAGAAAAAAAAAUCUAGUUCUAAGACCUGCAGAAGAAAGACCUGAACUUCAGAGGGGACCACAAAUGAAUAUGAAUUAAGAACGGGGUUCUCUUUUCAAAAGCCAACACAAAAUGAGGACAUGUUUUAUGUAAAAGCAGCUCUUCUUGCCAGUGGGCUUCCACGUGUCCUUCUUUCAUAUAUCACAGCCAGACCUAGGAAAUUCCCUGGGAAGUGCGCUCCACCACAGUGCCUGCAGUUUCUCCAUUUGACUGGGAUUCUGUUGCACCUUGAGAGAUUUUUUUUUUUUUUUUGAUGUUUGGGAAGCUGUUACCACAAAAAAGCCCUUCCUGCAGUGAGGAAAUAGCAUGGUACCCAGAAAGACGAAGGGAGUGGACUGGGAAAUGGGAAUCUGGGUCCAUUUCCCUCCUACCAGUACCAUUUCCCUCCUACCAGUACCAUUUCCCUCCUACCAGUACUGUGUGUUUUUCCUGGCCUCAGUGGCUUCAUCUGUAAAAUGGAACAGUGUGGACAUGAAAGUGAAAACAUCUGCCAUUGUGACUAUAAAUGUUUAAGAAACGAGUCCUGCGUACCUGCCUCCUUCAGUUUUCCAUCUGUAAGGUACCACUUAUUGGGUGCUUGCUAUUUGUGGAGCAAAAAGAAUGCUGAAGCAAGAAGGCAGCCUCGAAGGGGUGCUGUUCAGAGCCAAUUUACAAUUAUGAAGGAAGCCAGAUUGAAGAAAAUGCCAAAAAGUACAAAAGGGAAGGCCAAACUGAAAGAAUUUCAGAACAUCAGAGUCUGGGCCAUGAUGCACCCAGGCUUCAUGAUAUAUGAGGUAAUGCUUUUCCUACUUGUUUAUACUUCUUAUAGUCAAGCACAUUGUAAUUCAUGCAGCUCCUUAAGAAAAUGGGAAUCUGUGUGGUGUGGUAGAACUGCUGAGGUGGGUCUUCAUGGGGGGAACCCAGAUUUUAAAUGGUGA